Molecule: ribosomal RNA, 421 nt
Filed under: uncultured bacterium
Lineage: Bacteria
Description: bacterial SSU rRNA
Rfam family: Bacterial small subunit ribosomal RNA
Source: RNAcentral
AAUCAACGCUGGCGGCGUGCCUAACACAUGCAAGUCGAACGCGAAAGCCCCUUCGGGGGUAAGUAGAGUGGCGUCCGGGUGAGUAACACGUGGGUAAUCUACCUUCGGGUGGGGAAUAAACUCAGGGAAACUUGAGCUAAUACCGCAUAAAGCAGCGGCACCUAAUGGUGAUUAGUUGUUAAAGCGGGGGAUCGCAAGACCUCGCGCCUGAAGAGGAGCCUGCGGCAGAUUAGCUAGNGGUGAGGUAAUGGCUCACCAAGGCAUCGAUCUGUAGCUGGUCUGAGAGGACGGCCAGCCACACUGGCACUGACACACGGGCCAGACUCCUACGGGAGGCAGCAGUGGGGAAUUUUGGGCAAUGGGCGAAAGCCUGACCCAGCAACGCCGCGUGAAGGAGGAAAUCCUUCGGGAUGUAAACUUC